RNAcentral lists this ribosomal RNA (583 nucleotides) under uncultured bacterium. RNAcentral describes it as "partial 16S ribosomal RNA". It matches the Rfam family "Bacterial small subunit ribosomal RNA", at positions 355 to 1375 of the family's 1533-position model. The record is from RNAcentral.
UGGGGAAUUUUGGACAAUGGGCGAAAGCCUGAUCCAGCAAUGCCGCGUGUGUGAAGAAGGCCUUCGGGUUGUAAAGCACUUUUGUCCGGAAAGAAAUCCUUGGCUCUAAUACAGUCGGGGGAUGACGGUACCGGAAGAAUAAGCACCGGCUAACUACGUGCCAGCAGCCGCGGUAAUACGUAGGGUGCAAGCGUUAAUCGGAAUUACUGGGCGUAAAGCGUGCGCAGGCGGUUUGCUAAGACCGACGUGAAAUCCCCGGGCUCAACCUGGGAACUGCAUUGGUGACUGGCAGGCUAGAGUAUGGCAGAGGGGGGUAGAAUUCCACGUGUAGCAGUGAAAUGCGUAGAGAUGUGGAGGAAUACCGAUGGCGAAGGCAGCCCCCUGGGCAAUACUGACGCUCAUGCACGAAAGCGUGGGGAGCAAACAGGAUUAGAUACCCUGGUAGUCCACGCCCUAAACGAUGUCAACUAGUUGUUGGGGAUUCAUUUCCUAGUAACGUAGCUAACGCGUGAAGUUGACCGCCUGGGGAGUACGGUCGCAAGAUUAAAACUCAAAUGAAUUGACGGGGUCAUAGCUGUUUCCU